This 5369-nucleotide long non-coding RNA is filed under the name Gossypium barbadense (sea-island cotton). RNAcentral describes it as "long non-coding RNA (GBAR_LNC023060)". Lineage: Eukaryota; Viridiplantae; Streptophyta; Magnoliopsida; Malvales; Malvaceae. The record is from RNAcentral.
AUUAAUCAAAAGAUAAAACUUUUGGUCAUUGGUCAAAAGUUAUAUCAUUCGAUUUUUUUAAAAAAAGAAUUAUAACUAUUCAAAAAAUAUUAUUUGAAUAGUUACAAAAUUAAAUGAAUAAUAAUUAUUAUUUAUUUAUUCAUAAAGACACCUAUUGAAAGAUGUCUCUAUGAAGAGACAUGAAAAUUCCUAUAAAUAGGAAUGAGAUUUCAUUUGGAAAUCAUAUCAACAAAUUCUAAUAUUAUUUCUUCUCUUCCUUCAUUUUCUAAUAUUAUUAGAUUAUUCUAUAAAGUAUUGCUGCAGAAAUCCUUUGUAGAAAUUGAGUUUUUGUUAUACAUUACUCAGUGCAUAGUGGACUAUUCUCGUCAGUGCAAAACGCAAAUAGUCAUUGGCUUCAUUGUAUCCUCGAGGUUAAUUUGCUUGGAACUCGUUUGCACACUGAAGAUAAGUGGGGGCGAAUAUAACCUUAAAGAUAGUGGCUUGAUACACGCCUUGGAGCCUGUCCUAUUUCUUCUUUUUCUUUUCGAGUUCCGAUCGUGUGUUCGAGUUUUUUCCUUACCGGAGUUUUGUACUAACAAUUUUAAGGUUAUAUUUCAUGAUGACUACCACAACACAUAAAAGUGGAACACUAAGGGAGUUGGCUUCCAACUUUGUUAAACUUGAUCGUUUUGAUGGUGGCAAUUUUCGACGAUGGCAGAAAAAGAUGCACUUUUUGUUAUCAACUUUGAAGAUUGCUUAUGUUUUGGAUACUCCAAGACCUGAAGAGAAUGAAAAUGAAUCUGUUGCUGCAACCCGAGAAAGUCAAAAAUGGGACAAUGCUGAUUACAUGUGCAUGGGCCACAUAUUGAAUGGUUUAUCUGAUGGUUUGUUCGACACCUACCAAAACGACGUCACCGCUAAAGAAUUAUGGGACAAAUUGGAGACAAGAUACAUGACCGAAGAUGUUACAAGUAAGAAAUUUCUUGUCAGUCGUUUCAAUAAUUAUCAAAUGGUUGAUGGUCGUUCUGUUAUGGAACAAUUUCGUGAUAUUGAAAAGAUGCUGAAUCAAUUUAAGCAAUAUGAUAUGAAAAUGGAUGAAAUGAUUGUGGUAUCCUCCAUAAUAGACAAACUUCCUCCAUCUUGGAAAGACUUUAAAAGAAGUCUAAAACAUAAGAAAGAGGAAAUAUCUCUUGAGGCUUUGGCAAAUCAUCUUCGUAUUGAAGAAGAGUAUCGAAAACAAGAUCAGAACCUAAAUUCUGAAAAUGCCAAAGUACAUGUUACGGAGGAAGUACAGACUACUAAACCAUUCAAGAGAAAGUUCAAUCAGACUGAUAGAGCACCUAAGUUCAAAAAGAAACAAAAGGGCUCAUGCUAUCAUUGUGGAAAGCCGGGACAUUUCAAGAAUGAAUGUCAAUUUUUAAAGAAGAAAUCAUCUUCUAAGGCUGAUAAUAACGAAAAGUUCGUUGCAAUGAUAUCUGAAAUUAAUAUGGCACAAGAUGAUAAUACAUGGUGGAUUGAUACCGGAGCAACCAAACAUGUGUGCAAAGACAAAAGCAUGUUCACAAAGUUCACACAAUGUGAAAAUGACAAUGUCUUGUACAUGGGAAAUUCUUCCACCGCAACAAUUAAAGGCAAAGGGUCUGUUGAACUACAAUUCACUUCUGGAAAGGUUUUAACCUUAAAUGAUGUAUAUUAUGUACCAGAAGUUAGGAAAAAUUUAGUGUCUGGAAGUCUGUUGAAUAAGUUUGGUUUCAAACUUGUUUUUGAGGCAGAUAAGUUUAUUUUGUCUAAGGGAGGAAUUUUUGUGGGAAAAUGGUAUAUGUAUGAAAGCAUGUUCAAACUUAAUAUUAUUAAUAAGAAUAAAAAUACUAUUUCUGCUUAUAUGGUUGAAUCAUUUUGUUUGUGGCAUUAUAGAUUAGGUCAUUUGAAUUAUAGAAAAUUGAAUGACAUGUAUAAAUUAGAUUUAAUUCCUGUUUUUAAUAAUAAUAUUGAAAAAUGCAAUACCUGUAUGUUGACUAAAAUUACAAGAAAUCCUUUCCCUAAGGUUAAAAGGAAAACAAAAUUGCUUGAUUUGAUACAUAGUGAUUUAUGUGACUUGCAUAAUACUCCUACAUUAGGUGGAAAGAAAUAUGUUGUUACUUUUAUUGAUGAUUGUUCUAGAUAUUGUUAUGUAUAUUUAUUGCAUUCAAAAGAUGAAGCGCUUGAUAAAUUUAAAGUUUAUAAAUCUGAAGUUGAACUUCAGUGUGAAUCAUUUAUCAAGUGCUUAAGAUCGGAUAGAGGUGGAGAAUACUAUAAUCCAAGUUAUUUUGAACUCACUGGAAUUGUCCAUCAAGUUUCAGCCCCUUACACACCACAACAAAAUGGUGUAGCUGAAAGGAAAAAUAUAGUCUUGAUUGAAAUGGUAAAUUCAAUGUUAUCAUAUUCAGGUCUUGGACAGGGUUUUUGGGGAGAAGCUGUUCUAACAGCUUGUCAUAUAUUGAAUAGAGUUCCUAAUAAGGAAACUAAAAUAACCCCCUAUGAAAAAUGGAAGAAAAAGAAACCAAACCUUAAUUAUUUAAAGGUUUGGGGUUGUAGAGCUAUUGUAAAAGUUCCAACACCUAAACGUAAAAAGUUAGGUGAAAGAGGAAUUGAAUGCAUAUUUAUAGGUUAUGCACAUAAUAGCAAGGCAUAUAGGUUCAUAGUAAUUGAACCAAAUGAUUCAAUUUCAAUUAAUACGGUUAUUGAAUCAAGAGAUGCUAUUUUUGAUGAAAAUAUAUUUAAUUCUAUAUCAAGACAAUUACAACCACAACAAUUGAUUCAUUCUUCAAAUGAGAAUGAGAUUCCAUUGAAACAAAUUGAUAAUAAUGAUGAAUCUUGUCAAGAAUUAAGAAGAAGUAAGAGGAUUAAAAAGGUCAAAGAUUUUGGACCAGAUUUCAUUAUGUUUCUUGUAGAAGGAAAAGGUGAAAGUAUAUGCAAUAAGAUACCUUAUUGUUAUAAUACCGAAUCUGAUCCUAUUACAUUUGAAGAAGCAGUGAAAUCUCAAGACUCUGCUUUUUGGAAAGAAGCAAUAAAUGAUGAAAUGGAUUCAAUAAUGGGAAAUCAAACUUGGAUCUUAGUUGAUCUUCCACCAAGUUCCAAACCAAUAGGUUGUAAAUGGAUCUUCAAAAAGAAAAUGAAGGUCGAUGGAACCAUUGAUAAAUUUAAAGCAAGGUUGGUAGCAAAAGGUUUUACACAAAGACAAGGUAUUGAUUACUUUGAUACCUAUGCUCCAGUAGCAAGAAUUGCUACAAUUAGACUAUUAAUAUCACUUACCUCUAUAUAUAAUUUGGUUGUUCACCAAAUGGAUGUUAAAACUGCAUUUUUAAAUGGUGAAUUGGAAGAGGAAGUGUACAUGGAGCAACCGGAAGGAUUUGUUGUUCCAGGACAAGAGCAUAAGGUAUGUAAGCUUGUUAAAUAUUUAUAUGGGCUUAAACAAGCACCAAAACAAUGGCACCAAAAGUUUGACAAGGUUGUUUUAGCUAAUGGCUAUAAAAUAAAUGAAUCCGAUAAGUGCAUAUAUAGUAAAUUUGAUAAUGGAAAGGGUGUUAUAAUUUGCUUAUAUGUAGAUGACAUGCUCAUUUUUGGCACGGAUUUGGAACAAAUAGAAAACACAAAGAAAUUCUUGUCAAACAACUUUGCUAUGAAGGAUAUGGGUGUAGCAGAUGUUAUUCUUGGGAUUAAAAUAACCCGAGAUGAAAGCACUAUAGCUUUAUCACAAUCACAUUACAUUGAAAAUGUGCUUAAAAAGUUUGAUCUUUUCAACUGUAUACCAGCAUCUACACCCAUGGAUCCUUAAUUAAAAUUAGUAUCUAAUGCUGGUAGGAAAAUUGAUCAAUUGAAAUAUGCAAGUCUAAUUGGUUGUCUUAUGUACAUAAUGACUUGUACAAGACCAGAUAUUGCAUAUGCUAUUGGAAAAUUGAGUAGAUACACAAAUAAUCCAAGUAGUUUGCAUUGGCAAGCUUUAAAUAGAGUACUUAGGUACUUAAAGAAAACUAUUAACUAUGGAUUGUGUUAUAAUGGAUAUCCUCCAGUUUUAGAAGGGUAUUCAAAUGCUAGUUGGAUUACAAGUUUGGAAGAUCAUGCAUCUACUAGUGGGUGGAUCUUCAUUCUUGGUGGAGGAGUCAUUUCUUGGGGUUCCAAGAAACAAACAUGUAUUACUGAUUCCACCAUGGCAGCAGAAUUUAUUGCAUUAGUCGCUGCAUCUAAAGAAGCAGAAUGGUUAAGAAAUUUGCUUUAUGAUGUACCUUUAUGGCUUAAGCCAAUUUCACCUAUUUCUAUCCGUUGUGAUAGUGAGGCUACUCUAGCAAAGGCAUAUAGCCAAGUAUAUAAUGGAAAGUCUAGACACAUUGGAUUAAGACAUAGUUAUGUCCGACAAUUAAUUUCUGAUGGAGUGAUCACUAUUAAUUAUGUGAGGUCAAGUGAAAAUUUGGCAGAUCCUUUGACAAAAAGUCUUGCUAGAGAUGCAGUAAAAAGGACCUCAAAAGGGAUGGGACUCAAGCCUAUUAAUUAGAGUCACCCAUGAUGGAAACUCGACUCAACGCUUGGUAUACGUCAAGUCUUUAGUUCAAUGAGACAAAGUACAUCAUUAGUAUGUGACUGUUAGCACUAUAAAUAAAUCCAUCCUAAGAUUAAAGUGCUAGGUACCCGUAAUGAUAAGGGAAGGAUGAGUAAUGUACUCUUAAUGGACCCAUAACAUAAAUAUGUUAGAGUGUUAUAAUUACGGGAACACUUUUGAUGGGAUCUACCUAUGUGAGUGGAAGUGUGGCCGCUUCUAGGAGCUUAAGGGCUUGGCUCUGACAGCACUCAUGAAAAGAGGACAUAGACACAUGGCUAUAAUAGUGUCCCUAGAUACUAUGCAUUGACUGAUGUUGAAAUCAUUGUGUGAGAUGUGUUCAGUUAAUCAAAUGGAAUAGUUGGUUCAAAGAUUAGUCUACCAUACAAUUUCGAUUAACUUUAACAUGUUUUCACUAAGUGAAGGUUCAAUCGUAAGACACCUUUAUUUAUGCAAAUUGAUUUCCAAGAAUAUCAAAAUCUAAAUAUUUUGAAAAUGGGGGGAGAUUGUUGGAAUAUUUUCAAAUAUUUAUAGUAUCCCAAUAACUAUAAAUGAAUGGGUGUAAUUAAUCAAAAGAUAAAACUUUUGGUCAUUGGUCAAAAGUUAUAUCAUUUGAUUUUUUUAAAAAAGAAUUAUAACUAUUCAAAAAAUAUUAUUUGAAUAGUUACAAAAUUAAAUGAAUAAUUAUUAUUAUUUAUUUAUUCAUAAAGACACCUAUUGAAAGAUGUCUCUAUGAAGAGACAUGAAAAUUCCUAUAAAUAGGAAUGGGAUUUCAUUUGGAAAUCAUAUCAACAAAUUCUAAUAUUAUUUCUUCUCUUCC